UUACGCGUGCUGGACACGCAGUCGUACCCUUUGUCCUUCAACUGAUUUGAAGAGCUUGCUCAGAUAUGACGAUGGACAUUGCAAAGAGUGGCGAACGGGUGAGUAACACGUGGGAAACCUACCUCUUAGCAGGGGAUAACAUUUGGAAACAGAUGCUAAUACCGUAUAACAAUAGCAACCGCAUGGUUGCUACUUAAAAGAUGGUUCUGCUAUCACUAAGAGAUGGUCCCGCGGUGCAUUAGUUAGUUGGUGAGGUAAUGGCUCACCAAGACGAUGAUGCAUAGCCGAGUUGAGAGACUGAUCGGCCACAAUGGGACUGAGACACGGCCCAUACUCCUACGGGAGGCAGCAGUAGGGAAUCUUCCACAAUGGGCGAAAGCCUGAUGGAGCAACGCCGCGUGUGUGAUGAAGGGUUUCGGCUCGUAAAACACUGUUGUAAGAGAAGAAUGACAUUGAGAGUAACUGUUCAAUGUGUGACGGUAUCUUACCAGAAAGGAACGGCUAAAUACGUGCCAGCAGCCGCGGUAAUACGUAUGUUCCAAGCGUUAUCCGGAUUUAUUGGGCGUAAAGCGAGCGCAGACGGUUAUUUAAGUCUGAAGUGAAAGCCCUCAGCUCAACUGAGGAAUUGCUUUGGAAACUGGAUGACUUGAGUGCAGUAGAGGAAAGUGGAACUCCAUGUGUAGCGGUGAAAUGCGUAGAUAUAUGGAAGAACACCAGUGGCGAAGGCGGCUUUCUGGACUGUAACUGACGUUGAGGCUCGAAAGUGUGGGUAGCAAACAGGAUUAGAUACCCUGGUAGUCCACACCGUAAACGAUGAGUGCUAGGUGUUUGAGGGUUUCCGCCCUUAAGUGCCGCAGCUAACGCAUUAAGCACUCCGCCUGGGGAGUACGACCGCAAGUUGAAACUCAAAGGAAUUGACGGGGACCCGCACAAGCGGUGGAGCAUGUGGUUUA
RNAcentral lists this ribosomal RNA (953 nucleotides) under Weissella cibaria. RNAcentral describes it as "bacterial SSU rRNA". It matches the Rfam family "Bacterial small subunit ribosomal RNA", at positions 37 to 948 of the family's 1533-position model. Lineage: Bacteria; Bacillati; Bacillota; Bacilli; Lactobacillales; Lactobacillaceae. The record is from RNAcentral.